Molecule: ribosomal RNA, 451 nt
Filed under: bacterium M2-124-16S
Lineage: Bacteria
Description: bacterial SSU rRNA
Rfam family: Bacterial small subunit ribosomal RNA
Source: RNAcentral
UCGAACGGCAGCACGGGAGCAAUCCUGGUGGCGAGUGGCGAACGGGUGAGUAAUAUAUCGGAACGUGCCCAGUAGUGGGGGAUAGCCCGGCGAAAGCCGGAUUAAUACCGCAUACGACCUACGGGUGAAAGCGGGGGAUCGCAAGACCUCGCGCUAUUGGAGCGGCCGAUAUCAGAUUAGCUAGUUGGUGGGGUAAAAGCCUACCAAGGCGACGAUCUGUAGCUGGUCUGAGAGGACGACCAGCCACACUGGGACUGAGACACGGCCCAGACUCCUACGGGAGGCAGCAGUGGGGAAUUUUGGACAAUGGGCGCAAGCCUGAUCCAGCCAUGCCGCGUGUGGGAAGAAGGCCUUCGGGUUGUAAACCACUUUUGUCAGGGAAGAAACGGCUCUUACUAAUAUUAGGAGCUAAUGACGGUACCUGAAGAAUAAGCACCGGCUAACUACGUGC